RNAcentral lists this ribosomal RNA (460 nucleotides) under uncultured bacterium. RNAcentral's name for it is "partial 16S ribosomal RNA". It matches the Rfam family "Bacterial small subunit ribosomal RNA", at positions 338 to 795 of the family's 1533-position model. The record is from RNAcentral.
CCUACGGGAGGCAGCAGUGAGGAAUAUUGGUCAAUGGCCGGAAGGCUGAACCAGCCAAGCCGCGUGAAGGACGAAGGUGCCAAGCAUUGUAAACUUCUUUUAUAAAGGAAUAAAGUGAGGCACGUGUGCCUUUUUGUAUGUACUUUAUGAAUAAGGAUCGGCUAACUCCGUGCCAGCAGCCGCGGUAAUACGGAGGAUCCGAGCGUUAUCCGGAUUUAUUGGGGUUAAAGGGAGCGUAGAUGGGUUGUUAAGUCAGUUGUGAAAGUUUGCGGCUCAACCGUAAAAUUGCAAUUGAUACUGGCAGUCUUGAGUACAGUUGAGGUAGGCGGAAUUCGUGGUGUAGCGGUGAAAUGCUUAGAUAUCACGAAGAACUCCGAUGGCGAAGGCAGCUUACUAAACUUCCACUGACAUUGAUGUUCGAAAGUGUGGGUAUCAAACAGGAUUAGAUACCCGGGUAGUC